GACGAACGCUGGCGGCGUGCUUAACACAUGCAAGUCGAACGGACAGGCCCUGCUUUUGUGGGGUGCUCGAGUGGCGAACGGGUGAGUAACACGUGAGUAACCUGCCCUUGACUUUGGGAUAACUUCAGGAAACUGGGGCUCAUACCGGAUAGGAUCUCCUGCUGCAUGGUGGUGGUUGGAAAGUUUCGGCGGUUGGGGAUGGACUCGCGGCUUAUCCGCUUGUUUGUGGGGUAGUGGCUUACCAAGGCUUUGACGGGUAGCCGGCCUGAGAGGGUGACCGGGCACAUUGGGACUGAGAGACGGACCAGAAUGCUACGGGAGGCAGCAGUGGGGAAUAUUGCACAAUGGGCGGAAGCCUGAUGCAGCAACGCCGCGUGCGGGAUGACGGCCUUCGGGUUGUAAACCGAUUUCGCAUGUGACGAAGCGUGAGUGACGGUAAUGGGUAAAGAAGCACCGGCUAACUACGUG
Molecule: ribosomal RNA, 468 nt
Filed under: uncultured bacterium
Lineage: Bacteria
Description: partial 16S ribosomal RNA
Rfam family: Bacterial small subunit ribosomal RNA
Source: RNAcentral